Long non-coding RNA from Acromyrmex echinatior (Panamanian leafcutter ant), 1415 nucleotides. Lineage: Eukaryota; Metazoa; Arthropoda; Insecta; Hymenoptera; Formicidae. The record is from RefSeq and is a predicted model, not a curated record.
UCGCGAUUUUCGUAAAAUAUAAUAAUAAGUAUUCAUACAAUAUUCUGAACAUUUCAUCGAUAUUUGUACAUUCUGUGACGAUUCUUUUACUGUUUCAGAACAUUCGGCAUUCGUAAUAUGAAUCGAACUUUCUGUGAAUAUUUAGCUGGGAUUCUUCCUAACCUGACUAGCAGGAAGAGAUUCUGAUAGUUGGCCGGGACUAGCUAAGGAAGCAGCAUAUUGAUGUAAAUGCGCCGGAGACAUUGACGCAGGUGCCUGCAUGAAGAAGAAAAUAUAGGAAUAUAUUCUUCUCAAUGGGAAAUCGCUUGUUGAAUGACACCCAGUUGUUCAGCAAGCUCUUUUUGUAUUUGACAAGGAUUUUCUUGCAACAGCUGAUCCAAUUCCUCGUCUUCAACUUUUUUUGAUGCUCCCGAUAUUGAUCAGAAAGAUCGAAAUUUUCCCGAAGAAGUAUGGAAGAAGUGCGGAGAUGGUACGGAAAAGAUGCAGAAGAUGCAGAAAAGAUGCGGAAGAGAUGCAGAAGGAUGCAGAAAAAGUACAAAAGAGAUGGAAGAUGUGCAGAAGUGGUGCGGAAAAGAUGCGAAAAUGGUGCAGAAGUAUUGUAUGCGUAAAUUGUCCUAUAUAGAACAUUUCGAUUUCUAUAGUCUGAAAACCAUCUGGUGUACUAUAAAAAUUUAUAGUAUAAGUUUUAUGAUGAAAAAUUUUGUUAUAAUAUUAAUAGACUUUUCGAUGCAUGUAAUUCCAUAUUGAAUACUAUAGUAAAUGAACUAUAAAAACGAGGAUAAAAUAAUCGAAUUUCAAGUUAUCCAGACAUGCGUGCGAUUAUAGCUUACAGUUAGCGCGUUAGAAUAUUACUCCAUAGGUCUUAAGAUUUUAAUUCCGUCGAUACUACAUAUCUCCUUCAAGUGCCAUACGCUUACAGUGCGUAGGCCUCCCUCUCAUAUAUCUAUGCGCGCACACUGAUCGUACACAAGGUAUAUGGGGACCUACAGUAUAAAUGCCAAUUCUUGAUAAAGCAAUUUUUGAUAAAGAGGUUUCCUGGGCAAGUAUACUACUCAGUGGUUUGUCUUCCAAGAGAAGCUACAAGCGUACGAAAAUUUUUCGAUUCUGCCGGAGAUCGAACCUGGGAUCUCUAAUAUAGCAGACCAGUACGCUAUCCGCUACACCACGCUCGCGCUCGAUACUACAUAUGCAUUUAAAAAAAAUAUAUAUAUCUAUAUAAAUGUACGGCGUAUUUUAAGCAUGAUGGAUAUAUGAUAUAAAUAUGAGAAUAAAAAAUAAACGGUUUAUUAAGACCGUAUAUGUGAAUGCACAACAAGUAAGAGUUUAAUGCCAAUUACGGUCCAAGCUGAAUCUUAGACGCCUUUAAAUAAUUUUUAUGUAAAUUAUAUAAAUACUAAAUAUGUCAUUUAAACUGA